This 73-nucleotide transfer RNA is filed under the name Chitinispirillales bacterium. RNAcentral's name for it is "tRNA-Thr". It matches the Rfam family "tRNA". Rfam says of the family: Transfer RNA (tRNA) molecules are approximately 80 nucleotides in length. Their secondary structure includes four short double-helical elements and three loops (D, anti-codon, and T loops). The record is from RNAcentral. Lineage: Bacteria; Pseudomonadati; Fibrobacterota; Chitinispirillia; Chitinispirillales.
GCCGGUGUAGCUCAGCUGUUAGAGCAUCCGACUUGUAAUCGGAAGCGCGGGGGUUAGAGCCCCUCCACCGGCU